GACCGAGGGUGCAAACGUUGUUCGGAAUUACUGGGCGUAAAGCGCGUGUAGGCGGCCAUCUAAGUCGGGCGUGAAAUCCCACGGCUCAACCGUGGAAGUGCACUCGAAACUGGAUGGCUAGAGUCCUGGAGAGGAAGGUGGAAUGCUUGGUGUAGAGGUGAAAUUCGUAGAUAUCAAGCGGAACACCGGUGGCGAAGGCGGCCUUCUGGACAGUGACUGACGCUGAGACGCGAAAGCGUGGGGAGCAAACAGG
Molecule: ribosomal RNA, 253 nt
Filed under: uncultured bacterium
Lineage: Bacteria
Description: partial 16S ribosomal RNA
Rfam family: Bacterial small subunit ribosomal RNA
Source: RNAcentral